ACAGUGGACGCGAGCAUCUGUGGCCAAGUUUUUAAGGGCGCACGGUGGAUGCCUUGGCACCAGGAACCGAUGAAGGACGUGGGAGGCCACGAUAGUCCCCGGGGAGCUGUCAACCAAGCUUUGAUCCGGGGGUUUCCGAAUGGGGAAACCCGGCAGCCGUCAUGGGCUGUCACCCGCUGCUGAACACAUAGGCAGUGUGGAGGGAACGCGGGGAAGUGAAACAUCUCAGUACCCGCAGGAAGAGAAAACAACCGUGAUUCCGGGAGUAGUGGCGAGCGAAACUGGAUGAGGCCAAACCGUAUGCGUGUGAUACCCGGCAGGGGUUGCGCAUACGGGGUUGUGGGA
RNAcentral lists this ribosomal RNA (345 nucleotides) under Streptomyces sp. NRRL S-4. RNAcentral describes it as "bacterial LSU rRNA". It matches the Rfam family "Bacterial large subunit ribosomal RNA", at positions 1 to 305 of the family's 2925-position model. Lineage: Bacteria; Bacillati; Actinomycetota; Actinomycetes; Kitasatosporales; Streptomycetaceae. The record is from RNAcentral.